Long non-coding RNA from Cottoperca gobio, 1578 nucleotides. NCBI's taxonomy places the organism in Eukaryota, Metazoa, Chordata, Actinopteri, Perciformes, Bovichtidae. The record is from Ensembl.
AAAUAAAUAAAACCUGUGCACAUAUGUUAUCAUGCAGUAAAUAAUGUCAAACAAAUCCGCCGCUGGUCAGUAAGUGAGCUGAAUAUAGAGGUGAGUGGAGUCAGACUUCAGCGCAAUGCAAAUAAUCUUUCCCCCCUUAAAAUAGGCAUAUAUCUUCUAUCAGAUUAUGUUGCACACUAUUAAUUAAUUUGGGCUAAUUAAAAAUAAAAAUGAGCAUAAAAUGUUGUAAAGUGAAUUUGGGUAAGUUGAUCCCUGCUCCCUCUUCUGUACAGGUACGUGUUUUAUUAACUGUAAAAUCACAUAAACCUAAAACAACACUGAAUAAUGUGUUUUCUGGAGCAUAAAUAUGAUGGAUCAAACUGAAGCUGAUCCAGAAAGAUCCUGCUCAUGUUCCUGAUUGAAAUCUUAUCUCCUUCCAACACGCAGCACGCUGAGCUCCGAUCAGUGAGCUCAUCUUUGUCUUGGACUGUGCAGGUCUUGACACACUGAUGGUGAGUUUUGUUGGUAACAAAGCUGACUCUGUGCCAGAGGCUCUCAAAAUGUGGUUCUAAGGACCUUGUGGAGCUGCUUACAGGAGGUGUAGAAAACACGGGGAAGUUUAAUUUCAACAUCAUUUACAGAAAAGAUCCUGAUGAAGUCUGAAAAUGAACCAGAGGUGAGGUUUUAGAUGGUUGCACAAUUUAAUAAUGAUUUAAAGAUUACUCUCUUCCUUAUGAUUUGAUCUACCUGCAUUAUAAUGAGGGUUUAGGAUCCAUGACAUUAAAAUGGCCCUGAGCCUUGUGCCAGUGUGCAUGUUUUCUGAAGCAGCUGAUCAGUACCUCUAACCCUUGACAAACGCUGCAGAUCCACACAUCUUUAUCUAUAUUAGAUUGUUCUUGCAGGUUCCUCAGAAAAUGUAAUAUUAUUUAUUUACCUCAAAAUAAACUGUGUGAUUACUCUAACCUUCUCACAACUCAGCAUAACACCUUGUAGGCCAUGUAGCUGUUCAAUAUUGAACAUUUUGCAGGCCAUGCAAACCAAAUUGAGACUCUCUGGGAGCUCACUGUUUCUAAGCAGUCUUUCCUUUCACAGGGCAGACUGGGUGUUUGUGGAUUCAAUGUGAAGACGGUGGUAAAACAUGCAGGAGUCAUCCGAGCCACCUCUACACCCAUCGGAAGAGAAAGUUAUGUUACAUCUCCACUUCCCCCACCAUGUGUGUGUGUGUGUGUGUUCUCUCUCUGUGGAUGCUGCUGGAGCAAAUGUCUAAUAGUGAGUUAACGUACAUUUGUAAGCUAUUAUAGCUAUAACUGCCUGCUCCUACAACCAACUGAUUUUCCCAUGUUGAGCAAUUUACCAUAAUAUAUUUAAUAAAAUGUCCAAGUAUAUGGUAAAAUUCCACCCUUUUCUGAAUUGUGAAAAUUGAAUCCUAUUAUAGAUGAUUUCUUUAAUUGCAUGAUUUCUAAUAACUGGCCUCGAGCAUGAUCUUUAUGGUAAACAAUAAAUGAUAAGUGAAUCUCUGGUCACAUGUCGGAGGUAGAGGCAUAUGACACAUACUUUUGAUUUUUAAAGGUCUUCACAGUGAGUGAGCACAGCCCAGUG